AGUGGACGCUGGCGGUAGGCCUAACACAUGCAAGUCGAACGGCAGCACAGUAAGAGCUUGCUCUUACGGGUGGCGAGUUGCGGACGGGUGAGGAAUACAUCGGAAUCUACUUUUUCGUGGGGGAUAACGUAGGGAAACUUACGCUAAUACCGCAUACGACCUACGGGUGAAAGCAGGGGAUCUUCGGACCUUGCGCGAUUGAAUGAGCCGAUGUCGGAUUAGCUAGUUGGCGGGGUAAAGGCCCACCAAGGCGACGAUCCGUAGCUGGUCUGAGAGGAUGAUCAGCCACACUGGAACUGAGACACGGUCCAGACUCCUACGGGAGGCAGCAGUGGGGAAUAUUGGACAAUGGGCGCAAGCCUGAUCCAGCCAUACCGCGUGGGUGAAGAAGGCCUUCGGGUUGUAAAGCCCUUUUGUUGGGAAAGAAAAGCAGCAGGUUAAUACCCCGCUGUUCUGACGGUACCCAAAGAAUAAGCACCGGCUAACUUCGUG
This 492-nucleotide ribosomal RNA is filed under the name uncultured bacterium. Its description in RNAcentral is "partial 16S ribosomal RNA". It matches the Rfam family "Bacterial small subunit ribosomal RNA", at positions 29 to 507 of the family's 1533-position model. The record is from RNAcentral.